Malus domestica (apple) is the source of this 2136-nucleotide RNA transcript. It is a transcript of the gene named probable plastidic glucose transporter 3, with no coding region annotated. The record is from RefSeq and is a predicted model, not a curated record. NCBI's taxonomy places the organism in Eukaryota, Viridiplantae, Streptophyta, Magnoliopsida, Rosales, Rosaceae.
UAUCUCUCCUCCGAAUAUACAGGGGACGGUUUCGAGAAGCUCGCUUAGACUUACUUGUCUUGAGUUGCAGAGCUGACAGUGACGCAUAACCAGUGCCUCUGCUUCUCCUCUCACCUCCCACCGCCGGAGUUUAGUCUCCUCCACCACCUCCGCCUCCUUCUCCACCUACGUCUUCUUCAAUCUCUCUCUCCCCUCUCGCUGUCAGAUCGUUUUCCACCUCCGCAUUUUACACAGUCGGCUGCACAAUUUUCUGUGUUAAAUUUUGGACAAGGCUUCUAUAAUUUUGCUAUGCGGGGUCGUCAUGUCGAUGCCUACUCGGCAUACAAGCGUGUGGCGUCCAAGGACCAUAUCAAUGCUUAUGAUAGAGAAGAAAGUGCAGUAGGUUUAGUGAAUGGAAAAGGUAUUGGAAACCCUUCAUGGAAGCGCUCCUUGCCGCAUAUGCUUGUGGCAGCUCUUUCUUCGUUCCUAUAUGGCUACCAUCUCGGAGUGGUUAACGAGACACUAGAUAGCAUUUCUUUGGACCUUGGCUUCAGUGGGAAUCCUUUGGCAAAGGGUCUAGUAGUGAGUACAUGUUUAGGUGGUGCUUUUGUUGGAUCUCUAUUUAGUGGUUGGAUUCUAGAUGGAGUGGGGCAUCGAAGGGCAUUCCAGAUGUGUGCAUUGCCGAUGAUAAUCGGUGCAUCAAUGAGUGCAACAACCAAAAGUCUAUGGGGCAUGCUUCUAGGGAGGAUAUUCGUUGGAACUGGGAUGGGAAUUGGCCCACCUGUUGCUGCUAUCUAUGUGUCAGAGAUUUCACCAGCUUUUGUAAGGGGUGCUUUUGGGAGCUUCACACAAAUUUCUACGUGUCUUGGACUUAUGGGGUCUCUCUUUAUUGGACUCCCUGCCAAGGAUAUAGUGGGUUGGUGGCGAGUUUGUUUUUGGGUAUCUACUGUUCCUGCUGCAGUGCUAGCUGUUUGCAUGGAGUUCUGUGCAGAGAGUCCUCAGUGGCUUUUCAAGAGAGGAAGAGGUACUGAAGCUGAAGCUGAAUUUGAGAAACUUUUAGGAGCAGCACAUGUUAAAUUUGCAAUGGCAGAACUGUCAAAGUCUGACAGGGGGGAUGAACUAGAGACAAUAAAGUUUUCAGAGCUACUGUAUGGCCGACAUUUCAAAAUGGUUUUCAUUGGGUCUACCAUUUUUGCUUUACAACAGCUGUCAGGCAUAAAUGCUGUGUUCUAUUUCUCUUCAACUGUCUUUAAAAGCUUUGGGGUGCCUUCAGAUCUGGCAAACACAUGUGUUGGAAUUGCAAAUCUGUCGGGGUCAAUUCUUGCAAUGAUCCUGAUGGAUAAGCUUGGAAGAAAGGUACUUCUUCUUGGAAGCUUUUCUGGCAUGGCAGUGGCAAUGGGUCUUCAAGUAACUGGAGCAAGUUCUUAUACGUCGGGAUCUGGAGCAUUGAGUCUAUCUGUUGGCGGCAUGCUGCUGUUUGUGUUGAUGUUUGCUCUUGGAGCUGGUCCAGUGCCUGGUCUUCUCCUUUCAGAAAUUCUUCCUGGCCGUAUUAGGGCAAAAGCAAUGGCAGUUUGCAUGGCCGUGCAUUGGGUGAUAAAUUUCUUUGUUGGCCUGUUGUUUUUACCCUUGCUGGAGCAAAUUGGGCCACAAAUUCUGUAUACAGUCUUUGCUACCUUUUGUUUACUGGCUGUUGUUUUUGUGAAGAGAAAUGUAAUAGAAACAAAAGGAAAGUCCCUCCAAGAAAUUGAAAUUGCACUUAUUCCGCCUCAAUGAAGUUGUUUGCUUGUCUCUGUAGGUUCUUCAAGAAAACUAGAUUACUCUUACACAAAGCUGAAGUCCCCUUACUAAUGAUGGAACUAAUGACUCACUUUUGCCCGUAGUGUAUUUGCCAUGUUCAGCUGAGGAAAUAGUGAAGAAUAAGGUAGUAUGGAAACGUCUGCCCGGAUUCCGGUUGAAGUCAUCAGCAUCGUGUUGGCUGGGAAGUUUGGGAACUAAUUACCAGGUGCUCACUCUGAAAGGCCUUUGUAAAUUAUGAGAGCUGUUUUUUUCCUUCAUUUGUGAGCUUUUAAACCUGCAAUACAGUGUAAUACAUGAAGGACCUGACUUCCCGAACAAUAUAAUACAAGUGUUCCAUCAAAAUUAUGACAUGAUAAAAAA